This 335-nucleotide unclassified non-coding RNA is filed under the name soil metagenome. Its description in RNAcentral is "partial contains 5.8S ribosomal RNA, internal transcribed spacer 2, and large subunit ribosomal RNA". The stretch from base 1 to 120 matches the Rfam family "5.8S ribosomal RNA", at positions 35 to 154 of the family's 154-position model. The record is from RNAcentral.
GAUGAAGAACGUAGCGAAAUGCGAUAAGUAAUGUGAAUUGCAGAAUUCAGUGAAUCAUCGAAUCUUUGAACGCACAUUGCGCCCGCCAGUAUUCUGGCGGGCAUGCCUGUUCGAGCGUCAUUUCAACCAUCAAGCCCCCGGCUUGUGUUGGGGACCUGCGGCUGCCGCAGGCCCUGAAAACCAGUGGCGGGCUCGCUAGUCACUCCGAGCGUAGUAAUACAUCUCGCUCAGGGCGUGCUGCAGGUUCCGGCCGUUAAAAGCCUUAUUUUACCCAAGGUUGACCUCGGAUCAGGUAGGAAGACCCGCUGAACUUAAGCAUAUCAAUAAGCGGAGGA